This 567-nucleotide ribosomal RNA is filed under the name Zygoascus sp. Its description in RNAcentral is "eukaryotic LSU rRNA". It matches the Rfam family "Eukaryotic large subunit ribosomal RNA", at positions 62 to 649 of the family's 3401-position model. The record is from RNAcentral. Lineage: Eukaryota; Fungi; Ascomycota; Dipodascomycetes; Dipodascales; Trichomonascaceae.
AAACCAACAGGGAUUGCCUUAGUAGCGGCGAGUGAAGCGGCAAAAGCUCAAAUUUGAAAUCUGGUACUUUCAGUAUCCGAGUUGUAAUUUGUAGAAGCAACUUUGGUGAUGGUCUUUGCAUAAGUUCCUUGGAAUAGGACGUCAUAGAGGGUGAGAAUCCCGUUUAUGGUGAAGAACCCACACUAUGUAAAGUGCUUUCGAAGAGUCGAGUUGUUUGGGAAUGCAGCUCAAAGUGGGUGGUAAAUUCCAUCUAAAGCUAAAUAUUGGCGAGAGACCGAUAGCGAACAAGUACUGUGAAGGAAAGAUGAAAAGAACUUUGAAAAGAGAGUGAAAAAGUACGUGAAAUUGUUGAAAGGGAAGGGAUCUAAAUCAGACAUGGUAUUUUGUGAUCAACAGUCUUUCGGGACUGUGCACUCGCAUUUUACUAGGCCAGCAUCGGUUAGAAGGGGGUAAAAAAGAUUUUGGAAUGUGGCUCCUCGGAGUGUUAUAGCCAAGGUUAAUUGCCCCAUUUCUGACCGAGGACCGCGUCUUUUGACUAGGAUGCUGGCGUAAUGGUUUUGAUCCACC